Homo sapiens (human) is the source of this 2981-nucleotide long non-coding RNA. The record is from Ensembl. NCBI's taxonomy places the organism in Eukaryota, Metazoa, Chordata, Mammalia, Primates, Hominidae.
AGGCGCGGCGAGGCGGGUGGCGCGCGGCAGCAGGGUUGGGCUCUCGCCGUGAGUCGACGAAGGGAGCGCGGGCGCGCGCCCGCGUCCGCGCACUGAGAGUCGCCUCGGCCGCUCGCUUUCUCGACUCCCGCCUCGCGCCUCGAUCCUGUUCCGCCUCCCUCGGCCCUCCUGCCCGCCCCCACUCGUCGGCCCUCAGCUCAGAGACCUAAUAGGAUGGGGUCUUAGAGAAACAUCUUUUGAGCCACAGACUUCUUUGUUACCAGAAGGAAAAUGAAAGAAGAAAUUUAAAUACCACUUGAAGAGAGCUGAUCGCCACCAACUGGCCUCUGGGUGGAUUUGGCCAAUGGAAGCACCUGUAGAGGGAAGAGAGUGAGGUUAGGAUAUUUCUUCCUGCUGUCUCCGUGCUUCCCUGCAGAGAGUGUGAAGAAAUGACCCUGAAAAGCCUCUGGCAGAGGAUUCUUCUUUCAGGAUGGUGUCGCCUCCUCAGCAGCCCAUCCUCCUCCCCUGGACUCAAGCUCUCAUUCCAGUAACACUCCUUCCUCCUUCUCCAUCUUCAGGGGGAGGUUUGCCAGUCGGUGGGUUCUAAGCAUAUCUCGCUGAUUCCCCCCAACCCUGCCGACACCUCUGUAGGUCGUCCCUUCAUUAAAAUCUCUCCAUUUGAACUAUCUGAGUUUAAUUCCAUUUCCUCCUGGUAUCUCAGUGAUACACGGUAUCAGUACAAAAAUCUCGCUUCACCUUCAGAACCAACAGAUUUGAGACAUUUUAUCCUCUGUGGAACCAUUAGUUAUUUUGUCAUUGGUUGUAUCAGAAAAAAAAAUCAGGAAUGCAAAUCCUUCUUUAUUACAGAUUCAGAUUUGCAUAUUACCAAUGUUAUAUAUUUUAAACAAAACUAUUCAUCAUAAGUUUUAAAAAUUAACUACUGGAGUAGUUAAUGAAUCUGAAUGUAAUUAUGUAGCUUUCAUAAUAUUAAAGUAAAAAUACUAAAAGAAGUAUUUCUUAAAGAAGCAAAUGCUCAAUCUCCAAGUAAAUUUUAUUCUAUGCUCUUCCGGUAUAAGAAUAUGUUAAUAUCUUGAAAAAUAUCAUAUUAUUUUGUGAACUCAUAAAGCUAUUUUGAGUUUUUGUAAAAUGAAAACCUUACCAAAAUGUAUUUUAUUGUUGGAAAGCUUGACCGUUACUGCUGUUUAAUUUUUUGAGCUUGUAAACUUUAUUUGUGCAUGUUUUCAACAAAGAAGGAUUUUAUUGUUAUUACAUAAAACAGGUGAUUUCUAGAUUUUAAAAUCACAAAUUGAAAGCAAGGCACAAUAAUAUAUAUUUCAAGAUAUAGGUACUUAGGAGGCAUCCUUUUAGUCAUCUGUUCAAUGUAGCCAUCUAUUUUACACCUACUGUCUACUAUUGUUUGAGGUCCUUGCCAAAGUAUUGCAGGCUAGUUAGGAAACAUAAAACAAUUAGAAAGUAAUCUAUGACAAGUAAGCUAUCUAUAAAUGGCAAUGAAGGGUAGAACAAAUUCAAUGAAAAUAUCUAUUUAAUCCUAGUGUUUACUGGUCUAGAAGAAUAGGCUGAGUAAAUUAGUAUUUCUCUGGCUGUUGUGGUAACACAUUGCAUGCUAUAACAGUUUUAAGUAAUUACAGGUGCAUUGAAAUUUAUCUAUGGCUUUGUCAUCAUAUUCUAAAAUGUCAUGAGUACUUUUUUCUGACCUCAAUUACUAUGAAAUUGGUUUCCAAUAUUUAAUUAACCAAGAAUAUCAAGUCUAUAGGGUAUUAUUAAGGUGAGACUUCUGUAGCCUUUUCAAUAAAGACCAGAAUUUUGGAGUGCCUUGAACCUUAAUCAUUGAUCUUUAAUUCUUAUUAAGUCAACUGCCCACCUUUUAAAGACUGAGGCCCAGGAAGAGUAAGUUUCUCUGAGACAAUGCAUACAGUACAGUGCUUCUUGGGUAUUGGCUCUAAGACCAGAUGCAAAGAAAGGCUAAAAUCCCAUUUCAUUGUUCAUUAGGUGAGAACCCUUUGUUAAGCUGUGUAACCUCUGUGCAUAGUUUCCUCAUCAGCAAAGUCAGAAAAAGUAUGUACCUGAAGGACUGAUUGUAAGGCUGGGAUGAGAGAAUCCAUGUGAUCAGCCCUCACCAACAGGUGCUGCCCAGUUCAUGAGUGCUGCUGCUGUCCUGCCCAAGUACCCAGCUUGCAGAGUGCCAGAGUUAGAGUCCCAGGGGUGUUCUCCACAGCUGCAUGCUUGAUCCAGGCCUAUCAGAUAUAUUCCAUUGAAAGUCCUCAUUCUCAAAUUUAAAACAAAGACUUUUUGUGUACCUCAAUAGCAAUGCACACACAGUUGGCUUCACAAACAUAUUGUACAUUUCUUUUUUUCAUAUUUAUUCAACAAAUGUAUAUUGACUACCCACCGUGUGACAGGUGUUAUUUGUUGACGGAACCAGGCAUCAUCAGCAAACAAAACUGACAAAGCUUCCUGCCCUCUGUGGAAGGCAUCUGAGGAAGAGACUGGAUUUUGUAGCAACAUGUUAUUCUCAUUAUAAACUUUAUCAUUGGAAUACUAAAGCCAAAUCAUCCCCCAUCUCCUUGAUCAGGAUACCCACUUAAUCUAGGCAGCUACACAAUUGUGAGAGCCUUUGUUUUUUUCUGCUGAAACAUCCUUAAAAAGAUACCUCACAACCCAAGAUUUGGCUUUUCUUAAAUACGAUUUUUAAUUUUUUUCAUUUCUAUCUAGAGAUUUAAUUGGAAAUGGAAAAUCAUCAAUUUUCCAAUUAAAUGUCUGUUCCAAUCAACAUUAUACCUUUUAGGUUGUCAUUGUCAUUUUUAAGUUUAAGCAACUUUAAGGAUUUUGAAUCUGGCUGCCUGUAAAUUAAAGGUGAAAGUAAUCAUUGUGUUGGAUUGGAACAUUUUGUCAAUUGAGAGUGGUUUCCUUGUUCUUAGUGUAUGAAAAGUUUAUUUUUCUAAUGUAGAUUAAUAAAGGAGAUAAAGAAAAACAAAAUGAGU